RNAcentral lists this unclassified non-coding RNA (376 nucleotides) under Erwinia amylovora. RNAcentral's name for it is "16S-23S ribosomal RNA intergenic spacer". The stretch from base 87 to 158 matches the Rfam family "tRNA". Lineage: Bacteria; Pseudomonadati; Pseudomonadota; Gammaproteobacteria; Enterobacterales; Erwiniaceae. The record is from RNAcentral.
CCUGAAGAUACCUUCCGGCGCAGUGUCCACACAGAUUGUCUGAUAAAAGUAAUGAGCAAGGCGCCUGCGAAGUCGCGACACACCGUGUCCCCUUCGUCUAGCGGUUAGGACUCCGCCCUUUCACGGCGGCAACAGGGGUUCGAAUCCCCUAGGGGACGCCACUUGCUUGGUGACAGGUGAAAGGUGUCGCUAAAAAUAUCUUAAAGCUGACUGCAAAGUCAGGUUUAAGAUAUUGCUCUUUAACAAUCCGGAACAAGCUGAAAAUUGAAACGACAUGUCGUGUUCAUUCUCCGUAAUCAGAAUGAAGCCACGAUAUGUUCGAGUCUCUCAAUGCCUGCAACCGACACACGUCUUUCGGGACGCUUGUGGGUUGUGA